RNAcentral lists this long non-coding RNA (1018 nucleotides) under Canis lupus familiaris (dog). RNAcentral describes it as "lncRNA (ENSCAFG00000056912.1)". Lineage: Eukaryota; Metazoa; Chordata; Mammalia; Carnivora; Canidae. The record is from RNAcentral.
AUGAAGCUUGGCGCACGCACGGGCACCCACGGCACCUCCUCCGUCCUCAGCGGGCCCUGCUGCCGCCCCGAGCUCAUCAUCACUGGCUCCCUUGGGACAAGGCCAGCCAGCUCCCAUCUGCAGCACGGGGCUCCCCCCGCCUCCGGCGGCCGCGACCCUGGUUUCCCAACUCUCUCUGGUCACCAGGCCUCCGUGUCCCCAGCCGAGAGCAUCCUUUCCUUCCGCUGCCACCGCGCUGAGUCAGGAGCCUCGUGGGCAGAGGGGAAGUUGUCCUGACAGUCUGCACCCGUCUGAGUUCCCCCGGGGCAGGUGACUCUUGCUCUUGCUAGGUUUCCCCUCCUGUCAUCCAGGGACACCGCGGUGGCUUCAUCCUUGACGUGGGGGGUCUCAGGAGGUCAAGCGCCUAGAGGGGCAGGGGUCCUUCCUCUCCUCAGCCUCCGCUGGGUUCAGCCUUUUUCUGUGGCUUUGCCAUGUGCUUCGAUCUCAAUUUGGGGCAUGUGACCACAUUCAAAGCUCACUUGCUUUUCCAGGUGAGUGGCCCAUGUGGCAGGUAGGACAGUCACAUAGAAAUUAUGGCGGGAACUGCACUUAUGUCAGCGAGCCCGUAGCCUUAGGUGGCCCGUCGGGGCCCAGGUCUUCACCGGGCAACAUUCCUAUGGAGCAACUGUCUGCUUGUGCACUUGUGCACUUUUUCUUUCAUUUUUUAAAAUUAAAAAAAAAAUUUUUUUUUAAUUUGUUUUAAUUUUUUUAUUUAUUUAUGAUAGGCACACAGUGAGAGAGAGAGGCAGAGACACAGGCAGAGGGAGAAGCAGGCUCCAUGCACCGGGAGCCCGACGUGGGAUUCGAUCCCGGGUCUCCGGGAUCGCGCCCUGGGCCAAAGGCAGGUGCCAAACCGCUGCGCCACCUUGGGAUCCCUUCUUUCAUUUUUUUAACCUUUUAUUUGUAUAUUUUGAGUUAUGUCUUUUUUUCCCUUUUUAUUAACAUUUGUUGAUGUUUUUUAUUUGUGCGUCUUCAUUCC